CUCGUAGGCGGUUCGUCGCGUCCGGUGUGAAAGUCCAUCGCUUAACGGUGGAUCUGCGCCGGGUACGGGCGGGCUGGAGUGCGGUAGGGGAGACUGGAAUUCCCGGUGUAACGGUGGAAUGUGUAGAUAUCGGGAAGAACACCAAUGGCGAAGGCAGGUCUCUGGGCCGUUACUGACGCUGAGGAGCGAAAGCGUGGGGAGCGUACA
RNAcentral lists this ribosomal RNA (207 nucleotides) under uncultured bacterium. RNAcentral describes it as "partial 16S ribosomal RNA". It matches the Rfam family "Bacterial small subunit ribosomal RNA", at positions 568 to 774 of the family's 1533-position model. The record is from RNAcentral.